This 435-nucleotide ribosomal RNA is filed under the name Moschus chrysogaster (alpine musk deer). Its description in RNAcentral is "partial 12S ribosomal RNA". It matches the Rfam family "Bacterial small subunit ribosomal RNA", at positions 768 to 1404 of the family's 1533-position model. Lineage: Eukaryota; Metazoa; Chordata; Mammalia; Artiodactyla; Moschidae. The record is from RNAcentral.
CAAACUGGGAUUAGAUACCCCACUAUGCUUAGCUCUAAACACAAAUAAUUAUAUAACAAAAUUAUUCGCCAGAGUACUACUAGCAACAGCUUAAAACUCAAAGGACUUGGCGGUGCUUCACACCCUUCUAGAGGAGCCUGUUCUAUAAUCGAUAAACCCCGAUAGACCUCACCAAUCCUUGCUAAUACAGUCUAUAUACCGCCAUCUUCAGCAAACCCUAAAAAGGAACAAAAGUAAGCACAACCAUAAUACAUAAAAACGUUAGGUCAAGGUGUAACCUAUGGAGUGGAAAGAAAUGGGCUACAUUUUCUACAUCAAGAAAACUUAUUACGAAAGUUAUUAUGAAACUAAUAACCAAAGGAGGAGUAGUAAACUAAGAAUAGAGUGCUUAGUUGAAUUAGGCCAUGAAGCACGCACACACCGCCCGUCACCCUC